UGGAUCCAGACUUUGAUUAUGGCUCAGGAUGAACGCUAGCUACAGGCUUAACACAUGCAAGUCGAGGGGCAGCGAUGAAGAAAGCUUGCUUUCUUCAGGCGGCGACCGGCGCACGGGUGAGUAACGCGUAUCGAACCUGCCUCAUACUCAGGAAUAGCCUUGCGAAAGUAAGAUUAAUGCCCGAUGUUAUUAGGAUAUCACAUGAUAUUUUAAUUAAAGAUUUAUCGGUAUGAGAUGGCGAUGCGUCCCAUUAGCUUGUUGGCGGGGUAACGGCCCACCAAGGCAUCGAUGGGUAGGGGUUCUGAGAGGAAGGUCCCCCACAUUGGAACUGAGACACGGUCCAAACUCCUACGGGAGGCAGCAGUGAGGAAUAUUGGUCAAUGGACGCAAGUCUGAACCAGCCAAGUAGCGUGCAGGAAGACGGCCCUCUGGGUUGUAAACUGCUUUUAGUUGGGAAUAAAGUGCAUCACGUGUGAUGUUUUGUAUGUACCAUCAGAAAAAGGACCGGCUAAUUCCGUGCCAGCAGCCGCGGUAAUACGGAAGGUCCAGGCGUUAUCCGGAUUUAUUGGGUUUAAAGGGAGCGCAGGCGGACCUUUAAGUCAGCUGUGAAAUACGGCGGCUCAACCGUCGAACUGCAGUUGAUACUGGAGGUCUUGAGUGCACACAGGGAUACUGGAAUUCAUGGUGUAGCGGUGAAAUGCUCAGAUAUCAUGAAGAACUCCGAUCGCGAAGGCAGGUAUCCGGGGUGCAACUGACGCUGAGGCUCGAAAGUGCGGGUAUCAAACAGGAUUAGAUACCCUGGUAGUCCGCACAGUAAACGAUGAAUACUCGCGAUUUGCGAUACACAGUAAGUCGCCAAGCGAAAGCGUUAAGUAUUCCACCUGGGGAGUACGCCGGCAACGGUGCAACUCAAAUGAAUUGACGGA
RNAcentral lists this ribosomal RNA (926 nucleotides) under uncultured bacterium. RNAcentral's name for it is "bacterial SSU rRNA". It matches the Rfam family "Bacterial small subunit ribosomal RNA", at positions 1 to 917 of the family's 1533-position model. RNAcentral also lists the same sequence under 1 other name. The record is from RNAcentral.